ACUCGACUCCAUGAAGUCGGAAUCGCUAGUAAUCGUAGAUCAGAAUGCUACGGUGAAUACGUUCCCGGGCCUUGUACC
Molecule: ribosomal RNA, 78 nt
Filed under: Klebsiella pneumoniae
Lineage: Bacteria; Pseudomonadati; Pseudomonadota; Gammaproteobacteria; Enterobacterales; Enterobacteriaceae
Description: partial 16S ribosomal RNA
Rfam family: Bacterial small subunit ribosomal RNA
Source: RNAcentral